This is a long non-coding RNA of Acanthaster planci (crown-of-thorns starfish), 2416 nucleotides long. NCBI's taxonomy places the organism in Eukaryota, Metazoa, Echinodermata, Asteroidea, Valvatida, Acanthasteridae. The record is from RefSeq and is a predicted model, not a curated record.
UGUCCUUGAUAUGUAACAUUUGUGUGUCACUCCACUUCGGCUUACAUCUGAUCACAUUCCAUCCAAGUUUAUUUACGAACUAUAAACAGUGGUAAUAAAAGGGCUGGGUUGCCAAGACAUAAACUGCAUCUUCAUGUCAGCCAGUGAAUACUGAACACAACAUUGCUCGAUAUAGGUGUUCACAUUGUCAACAUUUUUCACCAACUCUCUCAAAGAUUUCCACUGUGAAGCCGCCAUGCAUUUUGUAACUUGGGUUAUGUGCAUAGCUGCUGCAUUGACAGUGCUUGUCCAGGAUGUGGACUGUCAACACCAGCCUGAUACCGCUGAUUGCAGUCUCUACACAAGUGGCAUCUGCACGCUCAUUUGGGCUCCAGUGUGUACCAGCACGGGAGUCACCUACGCAAACUUCUGCGUAUUUUGCGGGGCUUAUAAUAGAGGUGACGAGCCAGCUUCGGUGACCGUCCAGAACGGCGAGUGUAAACGCUAGAGGCUUCGGUCGUCAUCAUGGAUCUAUCGCUGCUGCUAAAUGACACCAUUACCGUUAACUUUCAUCAACAAAUUUCUUAUUGCCUGUAGGGCGGGAUAAUCCGCCAGAAGUAUAUUAGACGUUGUGCCCCGGGCUUCAGAAAACCAGUAAUUCGGGCCCCAUGAAAAUACAACUGUCAGAAAACAUACCAUCAUUUCUGACGUUAGAAUAUUCCUGCUUGCAUUAUCGGUCUCGGGAAAGCUUGAUCAAAGAAGCUAGAUAAUAGCGUACUGCAGUUUAGCAUCAAAACGAAGUAUAAAAGGCCCACCGCUUUCCAGCACCAAGAAAUAAUCGAUGCAGGCAAUUUGUUCAUACAGAGCCUACCUAACACUUAAUACAGUUCUGCUUAACCUACACUUGCUGGAAUUAAUGUGUUUGAGCGCUCAUUUUAAGAAUAACUGUUUCGUGCCAUUCUUCUUCGGGUGUGGGUGUUUACAAUGUAAUUUGCCCUGUGUAAAAUAAACUAAACAAAUUGAGAUACUUUCCCACGAGAAGUCCUUUGUCUAAUAUUAUUUUCCCUUUCAAGGUUGAAAAUAGAAUAGACUUAAGAUCCCUGAAAUGGAUAGAAAUCAUACGCAAGCCAUUAAAACUGUAAGCCUGGAUAAAUUUCAUGUUGAAUAUUAACUGUUGUUAUUUGGUUACAAUUUCGUUCCUUGUCUAUGUUCGUGUGUGAGUUAAACGGGCGAUGCACAGUGCAGAGCACCAUUUUUCGCGGGGCUUUGUGCGAAAUUUCUCACAAAUUCUAUUCCCUGGCCUCUGGCGGGGAAAUUUGAUUCUUUCCAGCGUUUGUCGUGUUUAUUUGUUAGAGUAGAAGAACUCCGAAUUUGAUGUGGAUCUCAUCUGGAGGCUACUCGUACCACAAAAGUCUAAGCAACUCAAACAAUCCACGAAUUCAAUUGCGUUCGGUCUUUCUACCGCUUAAAAUCUCAAAUUCUUGCAAAACCCUAGUCAUUGGGGUACGACGGACUCCAUUUAAGAGGGCAAAUGGGUUAUUCUAUAGAUUUUGGGUCCAGUUUUUCCUUGUUAAGUCUGCCCUAUGAUUUUUUUAAUGUUUACAACUCAUUGUUUAAUUUCAAAGACUGAAUAAGUACUGCAAAUUACCUUCCAAACAAAAAACAAUAGUUUGAAGUCAAUUGCAGUGAUACAUUCCUUACCAAACAUGUCAGAUGGUAUACGUGUCAGAGGACCACUAAAUUUAUAGAACGAACUAAAAACAUUUUCCUGGUACAUUCUGCGGCAGGUGGAACUUUGCUUUGUCAAGGAAAGUAAUUGUGGAGUCUGUAACGAAGUUGCAAGCACUUAUUCACUCAUUUUGGUGAGGCGAUGAGGGAUAGCGCUCAACCAGUGCCACUCGGCAUCGUUCACUGGAUUAACCAACAAUGAUUCACACUCAUGAGGGAAGUUGUUGCGGCAACCAAAGAGCUAAUCUGUGAAGAAUUUGACCAGUUGCUUGGUCAUUUGUUUCUGAUUCAUCCUAAUCUUUCAUUAGAAUGUGCUGCCACUGUUGAUUAAUUAACAUAUUACUGUAGGGAACCGUACCUGCGUAAGGCACACUUAUCUUUCCAAUACGCGUCACGGAGGUAAUUAACAUAAAGUUUAUACUUUUAAGGCGCUUCUUGUGCACGUAGGGUGAAGGUGGUUGCAGGGAGCAUGGCCUCGGCCAUGCUCCCAAGUGUGGGAAAGUGUCAAUGCUAGAAAUCCCUAGUAAGUACUUAUCAUUGUUUAAAUACUUUACACGAUCUUCUGUCGGACAAAUUGUACGAUUGUGGUAACUGCUUUCUGUGUUACAACGUGCCCCAGCUGUAUUAGUGUCAGCCUUUGACCAUCCAUUGUAUUGUUAUUUACGGUGCCAUCUAGCCAUUACUAUACACCAACUGUUUUCCUAUUUAA